GACGAACGCUGGCGGCGUGCUUAACACAUGCAAGUCGAACGGAAAGGCCCUGCUUUUGUGGGGUGCUCGAGUGGCGAACGGGUGAGUAACACGUGAGUAACCUGCCCUUGACUUUGGGAUAACUUCAGGAAACUGGGGCUCAUACCGGAUAGGAGCUCCUGCUGCAUGGUGGGGGUUGGAAAGUUUCGGCGGUUGGGGAUGGACUCGCGGCUUAUCAGCUUGUUGGUGGGGUAGUGGCUUACCAAGGCUUUGACGGGUAGCCGGCCUGAGAGGGUGACCGGCCACAUUGGGACUGAGAUACGGCCCAGACGCCUACGGGAGGCAGCGGUGGGGAAUAUUGCACAGUGGGCGGAAGCCUGAUGCGGCAACGCCGCGUGCGGGAUGACGGCCUUCGGGUUGUGAACCGCUGUCGCCUGUGACGAGGCGUGAGUGACGGUAAUGGGUAAAGAAGCACCGGCUAACUACGUG
RNAcentral lists this ribosomal RNA (468 nucleotides) under uncultured bacterium. RNAcentral's name for it is "partial 16S ribosomal RNA". It matches the Rfam family "Bacterial small subunit ribosomal RNA", at positions 28 to 507 of the family's 1533-position model. The record is from RNAcentral.